GAUGAACGCUGGCGGCGUGCCUAAUACAUGCAAGUCGAGCGAACGGACGAGAAGCUUGCUUCUCUGAUGUUAGCGGCGGACGGGUGAGUAACACGUGGAUAACCUACCUAUAAGACUGGGAUAACUUCGGGAAACCGGAGCUAAUACCGGAUAAUAUUUUGAACCGCAUGGUUCAAAAGUGAAAGACGGUCUUGCUGUCACUUAUAGAUGGAUCCGCGCUGCAUUAGCUAGUUGGUAAGGUAACGGCUUACCAAGGCAACGAUGCAUAGCCGACCUGAGAGGGUGAUCGGCCACACUGGAACUGAGACACGGUCCAGACUCCUACGGGAGGCAGCAGUAGGGAAUCUUCCGCAAUGGGCGAAAGCCUGACGGAGCAACGCCGCGUGAGUGAUGAAGGUCUUCGGAUCGUAAAACUCUGUUAUUAGGGAAGAACAUAUGUGUAAGUAACUGUGCACAUCUUGACGGUACCUAAUCAGAAAGGCACGGCUAACUACGUGCCAGCAGCCGCGGUAAUACGUAGGUGGCAAGCGUUAUCCGGGAUUAUUGGGCGUAAAGCGCGCGUAGGCGGUUUUUUAAGUCUGAUGUGAAAGCCCACGGCUCAACCGUGGAGGGUCAUUGGAAACUGGAAAACUUGAGUGCAGAAGAGGAAAGUGGAAUUCCAUGUGUAGCGGUGAAAUGCGCAGAGAUAUGGAGGAACACCAGUGGCGAAGGCGACUUUCUGGUCUGUAACUGACGCUGAUGUGCGAAAGCGUGGGGAUCAAACAGGAUUAGAUACCCUGGUAGUCCACGCCGUAAACGAUGAGUGCUAAGUGUUAGGGGGUUUCCGCCCCUUAGUGCUGCAGCUAACGCAUUAAGCACUCCGCCUGGGGAGUACGACCGCAAGGUUGAAACUCAAAGGAAUUGACGGGGACCCGCACAAGCGGUGGAGCAUGUGGUUUAAUUCGAAGCAACGCGAAGAACCUUACCAAAUCUUGACAUCCUUUGACAACUCUAGAGAUAGAGCCUUCCCCUUCGGGGGACAAAGUGACAGGUGGUGCAUGGUUGUCGUCAGCUCGUGUCGUGAGAUGUUGGGUUAAGUCCCGCAACGAGCGCAACCCUUAAGCUUAGUUGCCAUCAUUAAGUUGGGCACUCUAAGUUGACUGCCGGUGACAAACCGGAGGAAGGUGGGGAUGACGUCAAAUCAUCAUGCCCCUUAUGAUUUGGGCUACACACGUGCUACAAUGGACAAUACAAAGGGCAGCGAAACCGCGAGGUCAAGCAAAUCCCAUAAAGUUGUUCUCAGUUCGGAUUGUAGUCUGCAACUCGACUACAUGAAGCUGGAAUCGCUAGUAAUCGUAGAUCAGCAUGCUACGGUGAAUACGUUCCCGGGUCU
RNAcentral lists this ribosomal RNA (1372 nucleotides) under uncultured bacterium. RNAcentral's name for it is "bacterial SSU rRNA". It matches the Rfam family "Bacterial small subunit ribosomal RNA", at positions 28 to 1381 of the family's 1533-position model. The record is from RNAcentral.